GUCUGUGAUCAUACCACCCUGAAUGCACCUGAUCUCAUUUGAUUUUGGAAGCUAAACAGGGUUGGGCCUGGUUAGUACUUGGAUGGGAGACCGCCUGAGAAUACUGGGUGCUGUAGGCU
Ailuropoda melanoleuca (giant panda) is the source of this 119-nucleotide ribosomal RNA. The record is from Ensembl. NCBI's taxonomy places the organism in Eukaryota, Metazoa, Chordata, Mammalia, Carnivora, Ursidae.